RNAcentral lists this ribosomal RNA (393 nucleotides) under uncultured bacterium. RNAcentral describes it as "bacterial SSU rRNA". It matches the Rfam family "Bacterial small subunit ribosomal RNA", at positions 28 to 424 of the family's 1533-position model. The record is from RNAcentral.
GACGAACGCUGGCGGUGUGCUUAACACAUGCAAGUCGAGCGGUAAGGCCCUUUCGGGGGUACACGAGCGGCGAACGGGUGAGUAACACGUGGGUGACCUGCCUUUAGCUCUGGGAUAAGCCUGGGAAACCGGGUCUAAUACCGGAUAUGACUCCGCGGCGCAUGUUGUGGGGUGGAAAGCCUUGUGCGGCUGGAGAUGGGCCCGCGGCCUAUCAGCUUGUUGGUGGGGUGAUGGCCUACCAAGGCGACGACGGGUAGCCGGCCUGAGAGGGCGACCGGCCACACUGGGACUGAGACACGGCCCAGACUCCUACGGGAGGCAGCAGUGGGGAAUCUUGCGCAAUGGGCGAAAGCCUGACGCAGCGACGCCGCGUGAGGGAUGACGGCCUCGGUU